This 3729-nucleotide long non-coding RNA is filed under the name Pan troglodytes (chimpanzee). RNAcentral's name for it is "lincRNA". The record is from RNAcentral. Lineage: Eukaryota; Metazoa; Chordata; Mammalia; Primates; Hominidae.
ACUGCGCCCGAGAGGCAGCGCUCAGACAGCGGGGAGGAGGCGGCCGCGGAGCCCCGGGAGAUGGAGGGUGAAGGCCUGCUUUCAAAGUAUCCCACGUCGUUCAGCAAAGAUUCGUCAUUUAGAAUUCAGACCUGCCAAGACCAAGGAUGCUUUGUCUCAGCUCGGAUAUCUUCAUUUCUCCUUCUUACAGUUUCCUUGUUUCCAAGGAAAAACACAAGAUCUUGACAACUGCAAUCACCUGGUAACCAAUCAUGAAUCUGGUAUGGACCACUUUCACCCUGUACCCUGUCAGGCAGUUUCCAUCUUCUCACAAUCUUCACAAGAAUCCUACAGAAACAAGACGUAUCCCCCGAUUUACUGAUGAUGAUCCUUCAGCCCAGAGAUGCACUCUCCAUUGGCUGAACCCAACUGGAAGUCGGAGGGUAAAGGGCCCAUGACUCAGUCCGUUCAGGCUGACCCGCCUGGGGCUCAGAGCAUAACAGACAAGGGUGGGGAAGAAAAAAGAAUGGACUUGGAGAAGCAAACGGGAAAUAUUCAGGCACUUCUGAUCUCAGUUUGGCCAAUCGGCUCCCCUCUCUCUGACUGUAAACACAGAGAUACAGAAACUGUCAUUAGAAAUGAGUAGUGUUAAUGAUCCAUGACAGAAAGCUCGUGAAUUUCUACUGCUGAGGAGGCUUGAGCUUUUCUGUUUUCAUUCCUUCUACACAUCGGGAGCGGAGCUCCCCAGUGCCUUUCUGAUACAUCGUUACUUCUGCUUCACCUAAUCAAAGGCACUUACUGCUGCUCAGAACCUGAGGCCUCCAACUGAACAAUGCCCAGGUUUUCUCUCCAUCACCCCCUGUUCUCUAGUGUGAGUAGUUAGAUUACUGCUUUUAUGUCUGUCUUCCCAACUACAGUCCACAAAACGGCUCAUAUUGAACAGUAAUACAAAUAAAGAGAAAAAGGAGAGAAGACAAGAACAAAAAGUAGUGAGUUUAGAAACUUGGAAAGUAGAAACUUCUUUGGUAUGUUCCUGUUGAAAACCACUAGUCUCAUCUUCCACUUUCUCACAUUGCCGUUUCAGAGAAAAACUUAAUUAUACUUAAUUAUAGGGUUGUAAUACUUAUAGGGUUGGUUAUUCUGGUUAGCCAAAUUUACUGGUUAUCUGUUUAGAGUCUUUGAAUUUUAAUUCUAGCUGACACAUUUGUUAAAACAUUAUUAGCUUACCUUUCUUCCUUAAUGAGUACUGGAUCUUCCCAGAGAAAAGGUUCCCAGUCAUUUACCUGGAAUUUUUUAUACAUAUUUGCAGCCAUUCUUUGAGCUCCCUAAAGAGCAUAAUUAGAGACAUAACAUUCACUCAGAUUUUAUGCCCUUCUUUGUAAUAAGUCAAUGAGCCAGUCAUUUAUUCCACAAAUAUUUGUUGAUACCUACUGUGUGCCUGUCUCAGCAGUUCUCCAAGCAGGGGCUACAAAAAUAAAAAGAUUGUCUUUUAAUGAGGAGCAACUUCGAGUCUUAGCUCUUGGUACUCCCUCUGUCUAGUAAUAUCCAUUUUUAUACUUAGUAUUUUAAUAAAUAACUCUUCCUCAAAUUAUUUUAAAACACAUAGUAACAGAAAAAAUUAUUUAUUUAUUCUACUUUCUCUUAAUUACACCUGUGGGGAGCUUGGCCGGGCAGACUCUGGGUUUCCAGCCAAGGUCUUUCUGUCCACCUGGGGGCAGCAGACCCUCACACAGAAAAGUACCUCGAAGGAAGCAAUUGGCUUUCUGAGCUCCUGGCUUUCAAACACAAGUCUUCCAAAUUAUGGACCCAUGAAUAUUCUAAAGACUUAUACUCGAAGGACGCUUCCAAAAUCAAAUAAAUUUGGGUUGAACCAAGUUAAAUAGGUUUUUAACCCUGCAGGACUUCUCACAAUGUUUAAUACACUUUUUUUUUUCUUUUCUUUCUUUCUUCGACAGAGUCUCGCUGUAUUGCCAGACUGGAGUGCAGUAGCGUGAUCUCGGCUCACUGCAACCUCCGCCUCCCAGGUUCAACUGAUUCUCCUGCCUCAGCCUCCUGAGUAGCUGGGACUACAGGCGCCCACCACCACGCCUAGCUAAUUUUUUUUUAUUUUUAGUAGAGAUGGGGUUUCACCAUGCUGGCCAAGCUGGUCUCGAAUUCCUGACCUCAGGUGAUCCACCCGCAUUAGCCUCCCAAAGUGCUGACAUUACAGGUGUGAGCCACUGCGCCCGGCCUAAUAUAGUUUUGUCGUACAAAACACAAUGGCAUACUUGCUCUGUGACUGGCUCUGUGCAAAGUACAUCACCCACAGUGGCUUAUUUAAACUUGGCAAUAGUCCUAUGAGAUAGGCACUAAUUGUGUUCCCCAUUUUACAAAUGAGGAAACAGAGGCACGGAGCUUACAACUGGUGGCUGAGUUUCCGGUUGGGGCCAUCUAGUUACAGAACUUGCAUGUUUAAUCAUGACACCAUAAUGCUUUGCAAUGGGAGAUUCCAAGAGGGGGAAUUUGACAUUCAGUGUUUCCCAAAUUUAUUUGGCUUUGGAAACCUUUUAUUCCUUCUAAUCAACAUAGAGGACAAGUAUGUAAUGGGAUACUCUGAUAAAUGCUUCAAUAAAGCAAUGGCUUUAUGCCGCCCCACUUUAAAAGAUAACUAAAAAUAUAAGUCCGCAGGCCCAUCACAUAAUUGAACAGGUAACGACUGAAUUUUGAUUUGAUGGAAAGACUCUUAUCAUAUUAAUCUAAGUUCUCAAAGUGAAUGCCACUAAACCAAGACUAUUCAGUGUAUUUGAAGUAGGUACAAUACCAGUCAGAAUUGGGACUUCUCAGGAAGAAAAAAGGGUAUAUGGAAGAUAGGUAAGAAUAGAAAGCCACAGGUCUAGCAGGGAAGCUAAAUAUGGUGUGGAAUGUGUUGGGGAGAUGGGAAAAAUGCUCACCUCUUCAUGGAAGUUCGAAAAGAAGACUGAGAUUCUAAAUAAUGCUGGAGUAUUGCAGCUGGAAAAAGCAUGAUACCAAUGGCCAACACAAGGCCUUUCUAGAAUAAAUCUAAAACAAUUAAGAGAUAAUAUGAUGGCAUUGGGAGAUAUACCUAAUGCUAGAUGACGAGUUAGUGGGUGCAGUGCACCAGCAUGGCACAUGUAUACAUAUGUAACUAACAUGCACAUUGUGCACAUGUACCCUAAAACUUAAAGCAUAAUAAUAAAAAAAAGAAAAAAAAAGAGAUAAUAUGCCAGGGGGUUGAUGCCAGGUAAUACUGAUAGUUACCUUAAACAAUGUUUUCUAAACUUCAGUUUUUUACACACCAAAUUCAUGAUUUUUUUCUAUCAAGAUACGACUACUAUUAUUUAUCUAGCGUUUUUUAAAUUGUCUUAUAUCUUUGCUUAAAUUUAUUUUUUUAAACCUUAAUAUCUGAGAAUUCAUCAUUUUGAAAGAAUAAUUAUAUUGUUCUAAUAUAUAAAUUUUAAAGUUAAUAUCUUUAUUCCAUCUAAAGUGGUAUGUGUACUAUUCUUUGUAAAUGAUUUUCUAAAGGAUUAAAAACUUGCCAGUGUUGGAAAAAAAGGAAACAGGAAAAUUAAGACUGAGUUAAAGAAGGUGAAAACAAAAUUGAAGAAAAAGACUAAAGGUUAGACAUGAAAUAUAUCUGUCUCUAAUUUGAGGUGCAAUGUCAAAUUUUUUUGUAGAUUGUUCUAAAAAUAUCAGUUGUUCUUUUGCUUGUAUUUUAAUUCAAUGAUUAAAUAAACAGAUGACCUAGUUUCG